This 74-nucleotide transfer RNA is filed under the name Volvocales sp. NrCl902. Its description in RNAcentral is "tRNA-His". It matches the Rfam family "tRNA". From Rfam's summary of the family: Transfer RNA (tRNA) molecules are approximately 80 nucleotides in length. Their secondary structure includes four short double-helical elements and three loops (D, anti-codon, and T loops). Lineage: Eukaryota; Viridiplantae; Chlorophyta; Chlorophyceae; Chlamydomonadales. The record is from RNAcentral.
GGCGGGCGUGGCCAAGUGGUUAAGGUAUAGGUCUGUGACUCCUACAUACGCGGGUUCGAAUCCCGUCGUUCGCC